RNAcentral lists this ribosomal RNA (366 nucleotides) under uncultured marine bacterium. Its description in RNAcentral is "bacterial SSU rRNA". It matches the Rfam family "Bacterial small subunit ribosomal RNA", at positions 8 to 369 of the family's 1533-position model. The record is from RNAcentral.
AGAGUUUGAUCAUGGCUCAGAUUGAACGCUGGCGGUAUGCUUAACACAUGCAAGUCGAACGGUAACAGGACUAGCUUGCUAGUCGCUGACGAGUGGCGGACGGGUGAGUAACGCGUAGGGAUCUACCUAGCAAUGGGGGAUAGCCCGGUGAAAACCGGAUUAAUACCGCAUACGUCCUAUGGGAGAAAGGGUGCCUCUUCUUGAAAGCACUCGUUGUUAGAUGAACCUGCGUCGGAUUAGCUAGUUGGUGGGGUAAUGGCUCACCAAGGCGACGAUCCGUAGCUGGUCUGAGAGGAUGACCAGCCACACUGGGACUGAGACACGGCCCAGACUCCUACCGGGAGGCAGCAGUGGGGAAUAUUGCGC